GGUCACUGCUAUUGGGAUUCGACUAAGCCAUGCGAGUCGAGAGGGUUCGGCCCUCGGCUGACGGCUCAGUAACACGUGGAUAAUCUGCCCUUAGGUGGAGGAUACCCUCGGGAAACUGAGAAUAAUACUCCAUAGGUCUAGGAUGCUGGAAUGCAUCUAGACUGAAAACUCCGGUGCCUAAGGAUGAGUCUGCGGACUAUCAGGUUGUAGUCAGGGUAAAGACCUGACUAGCCUACGACGGAUACGGGUUGUGAGAGCAAUAACCCGGAGAUGAUAUCUGAGACACGAUAUCAGGCCCUACGGGGCGCAGCAGGCGCGAAAACUUGACACUGUGCGAAAGCACGAUGAGGGAAUCCCAAGUGCCAGCUCGUAAGAGUUGGCUGUUUUUCUGUCUAAAACACAGAGAGAGUAAGAGCUGGGUAAGACGGGUGCCAGCCGCCGCGGUAAUACCUGCAGCUCAAGUGGUGACCGUUAUUAUUGGGCCUAAAACGUUCGUAGCCGGUUUAGUAAAUGCCUGGGUAAAUCGUGUAGCUUAACUAUACGAAUUCCGGGUAGACUGCUAAGCUUGAGACCGGGAGAGGCUAGAGGUACUCCUGGGGUAGAGGUGAAAUUCUGUAAUCCUGGGGGGACCACCAGUGGCGAAGGCGUCUAGCUAGAACGGGUCUGACGGUGAGGGACGAAGCCCUGGGGCGCAAACCGGAUUAGAUACCCGGGUAGUCCAGGGUGUAAACGCUGCUUGCUUGAUGUUAGUCGGGCUCCGAGCCCGAUUAGUGUCGGAGAGAAGUUGUUAAGCAAGCUGCCUGGGAAGUACGGUCGCAAGACUGAAACUUAA
This 832-nucleotide ribosomal RNA is filed under the name uncultured archaeon. RNAcentral's name for it is "bacterial SSU rRNA". It matches the Rfam family "Archaeal small subunit ribosomal RNA", at positions 21 to 859 of the family's 1478-position model. The record is from RNAcentral.